AACAAUUUUUAAAAAUUGCCUUAAUAAUCAACUUCAGUACCAAAUCCACUAAGAGUUUUAUAAAAGAAUAAAAAGGGAAAAUAAGAGAGUAAGAACAAUGGAUGAGCUGUCCCACUGAAUUCAUUUCUGUGGUGAGGCAAACCUGAUUUCCUCUAUUUUCUAAAAUUAACAUGUUUCUGUAAGGAAGAAAGCAGAUUAUAAUGGAAGAAGAAAGCAUCCCCCUCUUAGCUCCACAAAGCCUUGGGUCCCCAUCUUGUACUGCCUAAAAAUCUAAGUGUCCCCCCCAGGAGGCUGUAAGCCCUAAAUGUGUCCCUCCCUGCUCCCUGCUAUAACAUUGGAAUGGACAGUAAAAUUCAGGAUUGUAUUUCCAGGAGAAAAUAGUUUUGUUUUGUUUUUUAUUUUGGUUCACCACUUUUUAACUUUAUCUGGUAGUCAGAGGAUGGGGAAAGUUGCCAAAAAGUUUGCAUAAAGGAUUUGGUUUUUCUGAGGUUUUACAGAUUUAAGAAAUGCAGAUAUUGAUGCAUUCUGAUAUGAUAAGACCACAAUCCUAUGUCAUAGACCUUUCUGAGCACCCUAAUAGCUAUAGUUAUGGGUUUUAUCCGUCUUAGUACUGCUAUCACUAUACACAGUGAGGAUGUGUGUGACUCACACCACUCAGAUCAGGGCUCCCCAAUUCCCUCAAGUAUAGUUUAGAGUUUCACACCUCCACCCUGUGGCUGUCCAGGGCCUCCACUGGGUUUAGGUGUUCCUAGAUCACUACAGGGUGAAGUUGAAUGGAGCAGGGCAGUCUGAUAGGGAUGGAACAGAGUCCACUGCAAUGAUGGGUUUUGCUCACUUGAGAAAUCACCAGGUGAAGGUUGAAGCAGCCAAGGUGCCAUCUAACCUGAGAGGUUCUCCUGGAGAAGGUGUGACAUUCAGCAGGUGAGACCUCUGCCCUCUGACAGCUUCUCACAGUGAUCCUGCCCAAUUCAACUGCAGGGGACGCCAUUCACGUGGACUACAGCCCUGGCACUGUGCAAUGUGUAGCCUACAUAGCUAAAUACAGUGACCCAGACCUGGCGAGGUACACAGGCUUCCAGAGCAGCAGGGUUCCCUUUACUCCCCACUUCUUGCCUUUUUGUAUCCAUAACUUGUACGAGGUCAACGCCCAAGGUUGGCAUUCCAGGUAUGUACCUCUUUGAGUCCCACCCCCCACCCGUCACUUUCCCUGCCCCUCAACUCAUCUCUGGGGUUGUUUGAAGGUUAAGUUCUUCCUGUCUUUAGGAAAUAUGAACCGGUUGUUGGAUGCUAAUGAUUCUGUCUCCCAUAGAGAUGGGCCAUGAAGGUUAAAGCACCAAAACAUAGAUCUGGUUAUAUACAGACAAACAUAUGAAUUAAUGAAGAUAACAUAGUAUUUGGUGUCUAGGGCUAAAGGACUAUAAGUAGGAACACCUGAAGGUAGGCACAGUGACUAACCCUUUUUAUAGGAAAGGAAAUUGGAAUGUAGAGAGUAGUGAUUUAGCCGAGAUCACCCAACUAAAAGUGUGGUUUGUGACCCUGUUAUGGUGGAAUUUUAUCCAACCUGACUAGUGAUUUCCAGUGAGGUAAGUUCACUGAAGUAUUAUAUAUAUAUAUAUAUAUAUAUAUAUAUAUAUAUAUAUAUGCACACAUCUUAAGUGCUUAGAUGAAUUUUUAAUGUGUAAACUACUUACUUCAAGAUUUAGAACAUUUCCAUUGCUUCAGAAUGUUCCCUCAUGCCACCUCUCAGGAGUUACUACUAUUCUGACGUCUGUCACCAUAAAUAAGUUCUGCCACUUCUGAAACUGUAUAUGGAUGGAAUGGCACAGUACAGACCUCAAGUGUCGUUUCUCGCUCUAGGUAAUGGGCGUGUGUGUGCUAACACAUGCUUGUGUACUCUGAGACAUGUUUGCCUUUCUUGGUGACACAUCGAGUACAAACCCAGAAAUAAUCAACAUGCACGGUGAAAUCGUGUGCUGACUCAUGGAUGUGCUAUAGAUUUCUAAUGGCUACAUUUGGGUUAAUGAGACUGAAGAGGUCAUAUGUUCUCACUGGUGCAGCUACAGGAUGAUGAUGCCUUCUGAAGCCUGGGUUCCCAAGUCAGCAGAGCUUCUCCAACCUCCACUGGAUAUGUAAGAGAAAUCACAAGUAGACGGAGAGGCAGCCAGAGAG
This is a long non-coding RNA of Mustela erminea (ermine), 2169 nucleotides long. RefSeq lists it as uncharacterized. Lineage: Eukaryota; Metazoa; Chordata; Mammalia; Carnivora; Mustelidae. The record is from RefSeq and is a predicted model, not a curated record. The transcript has 3 exons.